RNAcentral lists this non-coding RNA (26 nucleotides) under Bombyx mori (domestic silkworm). The record is from RNAcentral. Lineage: Eukaryota; Metazoa; Arthropoda; Insecta; Lepidoptera; Bombycidae.
UCAAUUCGAAGUACCUAUUACAAUAA